This 988-nucleotide ribosomal RNA is filed under the name Acinetobacter baumannii. RNAcentral's name for it is "bacterial SSU rRNA". It matches the Rfam family "Bacterial small subunit ribosomal RNA", at positions 11 to 993 of the family's 1533-position model. The record is from RNAcentral. Lineage: Bacteria; Pseudomonadati; Pseudomonadota; Gammaproteobacteria; Moraxellales; Moraxellaceae.
GUUUGAUCAUGGCUCAGAUUGAACGCUGGCGGCAGGCUUAACACAUGCAAGUCGAGCGGGGGAAGGUAGCUUGCUACUGGACCUAGCGGCGGACGGGUGAGUAAUGCUUAGGAAUCUGCCUAUUAGUGGGGGACAACAUCUCGAAAGGGAUGCUAAUACCGCAUACGUCCUACGGGAGAAAGCAGGGGAUCUUCGGACCUUGCGCUAAUAGAUGAGCCUAAGUCGGAUUAGCUAGUUGGUGGGGUAAAGGCCUACCAAGGCGACGAUCUGUAGCGGGUCUGAGAGGAUGAUCCGCCACACUGGGACUGAGACACGGCCCAGACUCCUACGGGAGGCAGCAGUGGGGAAUAUUGGACAAUGGGGGGAACCCUGAUCCAGCCAUGCCGCGUGUGUGAAGAAGGCCUUAUGGUUGUAAAGCACUUUAAGCGAGGAGGAGGCUACUUUAGUUAAUACCUAGAGAUAGUGGACGUUACUCGCAGAAUAAGCACCGGCUAACUCUGUGCCAGCAGCCGCGGUAAUACAGAGGGUGCGAGCGUUAAUCGGAUUUACUGGGCGUAAAGCGUGCGUAGGCGGCUUAUUAAGUCGGAUGUGAAAUCCCCGAGCUUAACUUGGGAAUUGCAUUCGAUACUGGUGAGCUAGAGUAUGGGAGAGGAUGGUAGAAUUCCAGGUGUAGCGGUGAAAUGCGUAGAGAUCUGGAGGAAUACCGAUGGCGAAGGCAGCCAUCUGGCCUAAUACUGACGCUGAGGUACGAAAGCAUGGGGAGCAAACAGGAUUAGAUACCCUGGUAGUCCAUGCCGUAAACGAUGUCUACUAGCCGUUGGGGCCUUUGAGGCUUUAGUGGCGCAGCUAACGCGAUAAGUAGACCGCCUGGGGAGUACGGUCGCAAGACUAAAACUCAAAUGAAUUGACGGGGGCCCGCACAAGCGGUGGAGCAUGUGGUUUAAUUCGAUGCAACGCGAAGAACCUUACCUGGCCUUGACAUACUAGA